RNAcentral lists this long non-coding RNA (476 nucleotides) under Anas platyrhynchos platyrhynchos (common mallard). Its description in RNAcentral is "lncRNA (ENSAPLG00000029236.1)". Lineage: Eukaryota; Metazoa; Chordata; Aves; Anseriformes; Anatidae. The record is from RNAcentral.
AUUUGACAGACUCUUGUGUUGCUUCAGUACCUCUCAUGGCACUUACUAGCUCAUCAGCCUGACUUGCCUUUCCUGGGUUUGACAGCAACAAGUCUCAAGACAAGACAACAAAUCCAGAAACCUAGAUUCUGAGGUACAUCUUAGGUGAAUCAUCAAGAUUGCCAUGUUCUUCAAUUUCAGCAUUGCAAGGCGAAGACACUAUCAGAGAGCAUAUUGAAAUCCUGUGAUAAAAGAUAUGGCUGAGAGGUACUGUAGCUAUAAAGAGCUCCUAACCAUCUCUACAUAAUCCCAUUAAUUAUCAUGUAACACCAUGCAAGGCAAAGAUAAUUGGCUUUAAAGUGAUCUUGAAUGAACUGCAGGGAGACAAACUGCUCUUCUGAAGAGGAUUCAAAGAGCUGCAGGUUGGCGGUGCAGCUAGCAAAAGUUCUAGUUAGUCUGUGAAGGAAUAGAUGGUCGAAGGAUGUCAGAAUACACAC